ACGAAGUUGGAUUCGCUAGUAAUCGCGCAUCAGCCAUGGCGCGGUGAAUACGUUCCCGGGCCUUGUACACACCGCCCGUCAAGCCAUGGGAGCCGGGGGCGCCUGAAGUCCGGGACCGCGAGGACCGGCCUAGGGCGAAACUGGUAACUGGGGUGAAGUCGUAACAAGGUACC
RNAcentral lists this ribosomal RNA (173 nucleotides) under uncultured bacterium. RNAcentral describes it as "partial 16S ribosomal RNA". It matches the Rfam family "Bacterial small subunit ribosomal RNA", at positions 1320 to 1500 of the family's 1533-position model. The record is from RNAcentral.